CUACGUGCCAGCAGCCGCGGUAAUACGGAGGGUGCGAGCGUUAAUCGGAAUAACUGGGCGUAAAGGGCACGCAGGCGGUGACUUAAGUGAGGUGUGAAAGCCCCGGGCUUAACCUGGGAAUUGCAUUUCAUACUGGGUCGCUAGAGUACUUUAGGGAGGGGUAGAAUUCCACGUGUAGCGGUGAAAUGCGUAGAGAUGUGGAGGAAUACCGAAGGCGAAGGCAGCCCCUUGGGAAUGUACUGACGCUCAUGUGCGAAAGCGUGGGGAGCAAACAGGAUUAGAUACCCUGGUAGUCCACGCUGUAAACGAUGUCGAUUUGGGGGUUGAGCUUUAAGUUUGGCGCCCGUAGCUAACGUGAUAAAUCGACCGCCUGGGGAGUACGGCCGCAAGGUUAAAACUCAAAUGAAUUGACGGGGGCCCGCACAAGCGGUGGAGCAUGUGGUUUAAUUCGAUGCAACGCGAAGAACCUUACCUACUCUUGACAUCCAGA
This 490-nucleotide ribosomal RNA is filed under the name uncultured bacterium. RNAcentral's name for it is "bacterial SSU rRNA". It matches the Rfam family "Bacterial small subunit ribosomal RNA", at positions 501 to 992 of the family's 1533-position model. The record is from RNAcentral.